Molecule: long non-coding RNA, 42097 nt
Filed under: Setaria viridis
Lineage: Eukaryota; Viridiplantae; Streptophyta; Magnoliopsida; Poales; Poaceae
Description: long non-coding RNA (SVIR_LNC010032)
Source: RNAcentral
ACACACAGAUAAUAAUAAUAAUCAUGUUUCCAUAAAAUUGCUAAGUCCAGAGAUAAUACAUAAACAUAGUAGACUGUUCAUGACACAUAUCACGGUGGACAGUGUUUGUGUCCUUAUUACAAGCAACGAGAGAUGCUCGUCACCAACACGCGCGCGCACAGAUGCACGACAUACAUAUAGUAGAGACCAACAGAUGGUCGUCCCAUAUGGUGAACAAUUUAUUGGAGAUAAAUAUUAACGUAACUUGGCCAUAGCUUGAAGCAUAGCAACAUAUGCCUAUGAGUGGCAUUCAUGCUAUCGUUUUAGGCUUGUCCAGCUCCUUCCAUCUUAGCAAGCACUUCCAUUUCUACCAUCUUAGCAGCAACUGUCAAAUUGAGAUACGGAAAUCCCAUUAGCGCAUGAGUUAAUUUUGCAGUGGAAAUAGAGUACAAGAUGUCUUCAUGAUGUAAGUAAUAUGCCUGAAGUUGUGAGAUGGGAAGUGAAGUCAACAAAUUACAUUAACGGAAAUGCAUGGAAGGCCACACAUACGUAUUAGUCCAUGAUAUGCUACAAAGCUUGUAUGUACAUAUAGCAAAUUAAAUGCAUUAAUUGAAUAGAGUGUGUUUAGUGAAUUUACCAGAAUCGUCCAGAAAACAUGGGAAACAGCAAGUGUUCUUGCAGACUGCGUCGGAGGCACCCGCACGAAUACAAAGCUGACAACAUAGUUUUGCCUGGGCGGAUGCGCAGCAGCCGCACUCCGCCGCGGUGGGGUUAACAUUGAGGCUCAAGAUGACCAGGCACAUGAUCACCAUCAAAGUGGUAGUCCUCUUUCCCUCCAUUGCCUCCUCUUAGCUUGCUGCUACCUUCCUUGGUUACCUAGCUAAGUUUAUUGGUUUUGUGUUGAGAGGUGUGAUUCUUGAAUGGACGUUGCCGGCGGCAAUUUAUAGGCAGCUGAGCUAUGUGAUGAUAUGGACUAGGUGCAAAUGGGUGGUUAAUGGCAAGGAAAGGGGCGUCAGACAAAGCCCAAUGGCAACUGCUGACAUGCGAUUAAAUUCAGAUCCACAUCCGGCCAUUCAAUAAUACGGUUGGAGUUGUGGCACAGAUAUAUUAUUGCAUGAUCAUCAAGAUAAGAUCGUACAGUGACUGAGUGAGACAAUAAAUAGCCAAGUAAACUAUUUUAUCCUGCUGCAAGCUGCAUUCAUAAGUUUAUUUCACCUUUGAUCACAAUACUCUUCACACACGUACGUCUCAGGGAGAUCUCACUUCCGCUGGACUGCUCACUUCCGCUGUCGUCGGUACUGCCAAAGACAUAAGCUCACAUCUGCUAUUGCGGAGCAGGCCAAUUUGCUGCGGAACUUCGGCGACGACCUGAAGGACAUGAACUCGGUGCUGGAGUCCAUCUCAGCAGCGCUCUAGGACGCUGACACCGGUAGAAAAACGACCUUCCAUCGUCAACAAAAAUCCCGGUAGCUUUUUUACUCGGUACUAAAGAGGUUUUAAUCUCGUGCAAACACCUUUAGUCCGGAUUGCUGUUACCACGCAACCCGAACUAAAGCGUCCCCCACGAGUUACUAUAUAAGGAUUGCAUCCUUUACUCAGUCAGAUAUAAUGUGUAGGUGAGAUGGUAAGGAAGCUAUACGUGAGGCUUCAGGUUGUGGGUUCGAAUCCAAGGAGAAGUGGGUGCAGCUGUGGCUUAAGCGGCUGAGGCACGCCGCCAUAGACAUCUCAGAUUUGCUCGAAGACUACCAAGACACUAGUGAACCCUUAACAGUAAAGGUGAGUACUUAUGAAUGUCAGCAUCCAUGUUGUCCAUGCUUCCAAUGUAAUAACAAGAUGGACUACUCUUCCUAGCGGACUCUUCACAACCACUCGUAAAGCUAUACGUUUCUCAAUGCAAUUUCGUAGAAGCCAAUCGAUCCAACCAAGUGACUAAAUCAUUCAUCCUUUCCAAUGAUGUGCAUCAGGUUUUCUACAUGAAGGGCAUCUCUAGCAAACCCAAGAUUUCAGAAGAAAAAGAAAAAUCAUUGGAGCCAAAGAGCCACAUAGUUCUUCCAGGAAAAAAAAAUCAUGGGAGUCGAGAACAAAUCAAACCAAUCAGAGGAUUAUGGUCAGCUUAAUGGCAUGCCUCCAUUCGAUGUCGAAGUUCACCCAAGCAUCAUGUUAGCCAAACAUCAAAUGUUCGUGCGUUGUUACGGUAAAGAUCAAUUGUGUUUUUUAAACUCAUGGAAUUUUUUUUCUAAGUUUUUAUUACACUUAUUGGAUGUCUACACAUUUGCUAGAAAACCAAAAUAAUUUGGACUUAAUUAUUUCUUUCAACUGAAGUACUCACUAAAUUUCUACCUUUUUAUUUAAGCAAGAGAGUUGCUAAAAAAAAUGGAUACAUAACCAUGUUGUAUCGUACAAAGCAACCACAUUUCACAUAUAGUCCGGCUUACCAAACACCAUUUUUUACUGAACAUAGCGUACAUGAGUUAAGAGACAUGGAUUUAUUUCUAUUGCAAGUAGCAUAGCGUACAACCUGCCUGCACCGAUGCAGCUCAAUAUGCGAUAAUUUUUAUCUUCCCAUGUAAUUUUUCUACUCUAGUACAUAUUGAACUCCACAUUAAUGUCAUGUUCUUUGGCGCCCCAGACGGUUCCUAAAGUUUGGAAACAAAAUAGAUAGCCAGAAAUUUUUUUAAAAAAUAUUUAUAUGGAUAUUUGUAUGUUCUUUGCAAACUAACAAUAUUGUUUACCAAUAUCAAAAGGAAUAUGGCUAGGAGCCAUUGCCGCAUAUGGCAGGUGAUGGUAGAUGGCGUAUGGGAUUUCGUUAAUUUAAUGGUAUAAUAAGCUGAAAUACAUUUUCUAUUUGCAAAUGAAUCAUAGCUGAAAGUGGUGAGAUUGUUUUUUCGCCGGUUUAGCAUCCUGUGCACCGGUUCAACUGGAGGGAAGCGGUUCACCGAGACGGAUGACAAUUUUACGGCAGAAUCAUUACUUGUUUUAUUAUUAGGUGAAGAUUUUAGCUUUUAGGUAUCUCACAUUAACAAUCUGUUUCUAGUGUAUAAUGUAGGAGACCCGUAAAGAGUCUACACACACAUAUAUAUGUUGACUAUGAAUGUAAGUUUGUUGGUUUUAUGUAUGUUCAUUUGGAGUUUAUAUAAAUUUUACAUUUUAUAGUUUUGUGUAUAUGACGAAGAUCCAUGACUUGCAUUAAUUUAACCUUUCUUCCAACAACUCUUAUGCAUGCUGUUUCUAGGGGAGCGCACUGGUUGCAAUUUUGGUCCCCGAUAUAGCAUGAGGACUUAAGGGAGACGGGCACGUCGUAACCUUAGAUAUUUUUGCAAGAAGCAAAUUAUACUUUGCUUUUGAUUUUCUCCAUGCCAUUUGCUGACUCUUAUCCCUUUUAUUUAUCAUUAUAAGAUGAAAAUAUUGUAAAAACUUGGUUACGUGCGGUCGCAGAAGCUAGAGACUAUUUCUUUUUUUAAAAAUACGCAAGAGGGAGAAACUUGGUAACAGCUAGACAGUGAAGAUCGCAUUUCAUAAGAAAGAUGGUGCACGUUCUUGUUUGGCUGUUAACGAAAUGACUUCGUUUCACCACACCACCAGAGAGCCCCAUUGCACUUGCAGCAAAAGCGUGGAGCCGCUUUCAACCAGCGUGCAAUAAUGCAGUCCCGCGUGUCUUGGUCUUACAGGAUAUUUGGUUCUUUAGUCCGGACUAAAAUUCAUGUCGCAUAGAAUAUUCAGAUGUUAAAUAGGAGGACUAAACAUGAGCUAAUUAUAAAAAUAAUUACACAAAUGGAGGCUAAUUCCCAAGACAAAUCUAUUAAGUCUAAUUAAUCCAUCAUUAGCACAUGUUUACCGUAGCACCGUAUUGUCAAAUCAUGGACUAAUUAGGCUUAAUAAAUUCGUCUCGCAAGUUAGUCUCCAUCUAUACAAUUUGUUUUAUAAUUAGUCAAUGUUUAAUACUCUAUCUAAACAUUCAAUGUGACUGAAAUUUUAGGAGGUCCUAAAGAACCAAACACCCCUUAGUCUCCGCCUGAACUAUAGCAGGUGCUGGCAGCGGUAGCAGGGUCGUCCAUUAUAUCUAUGGAUGGAAAUGAUCUGAUUCGGAUGGAAUCGAAUUCGAAUAGCACUUUUUACCACAUACUAAUCUGAAUUGGAUGUUCUCGAAUGUGAAUGCAAAACGGAUAGUUCAAAUUUGAAUACUUUGCGGAUUUUUGCAUAAUAUUAAUCGAAGAGAAUUUGUUAAAUUUAGCCGAGACAUAAAUUUUUCUAAAUUCAAAUACUUUGCAGAUUUUCGAAUGCAAAUUUUUUCAUACGAUCUCGGUUGAAUACAAACUUUAUAUCAAAGUUGUAUAUUUAGAUUAUAUAUAAAACUUUGUAGUUGACCUCCUUUUCAUUUAAAAUUUUUUAAUAGCUCAAAACAUUAUUCUAAGCUUUCUAAUUUCAAAAUCUUGAAUUUUAAAUUUUUCAAACGACCUCGGAUGCAAACAAGCUCUAUAUCAAAGUGCUUAAUGAGAUAUAAAAUUUUGUAGUUGACAAGUUUUUUAGUUGAAAACAUUUAGUUAUCACAAACAUACAAGUUCUUCAUUUGAUGUCGAGGAUUGGAAGUGUUGAGUUUGAAGAAUAUAUUCUUUGAUUACAAACUUUUCCAUAUGAUCUUGGAUGAAUACGAACUUUAUUUCAAAGUUGCAAAUUUAGAUUAGACCAAAAACAGUAUAGUUUACAAUUUUUUCAUUCAAAAUUAUUUAGUAGCUCAAAAUGUUAUUCUAAACUCUCUAAUUUUGAAAUCUUGAAUUUUAAAAUUUUCAAAUGACCUCGGAUGCAAACAAGCUCUAUAUCGAAGUGGUAGUUCUUAAUGAGAUAUAAAAUUUUGUAGUUCCAUCUGAGAUCAUUUAACAGUCACAAAUAUACAAGUUUUUCAUAUGAUGCUAAGGAUCAGAAAGAUUAAGUUUGAAGGCUGUAUUUUUUUAAUACAAAUUUUUGCAUACGAUCUCGGAUGAAUACAAACUUUAUAUCAAAAUUGUAGAGCUCGAUGAGAAUUUAAACUUUGUAGUUGAUAUAUUUUUCAUUCGAGAAUGUUUAGUGGUCCAAACAUGUAUUAUAAGUUCAGAGAAGAAACACACAAUCGGCCACGUCAUCAAUUGACAACUUCCAAACUGAGCAUUCCUAUUGGUUCACACCUUUCCCUUUCAACUCGUCAAGCUUAUCUCCUCCCACUCCUCCAUCGUUCACUCCCCCUUCCCCUUCCUCUCUCCCUCCCUCCCUCCGCUCCAGCAGUGGCAGCCCGACCUGCCUCCUAGGACGGUGGUGUGCGGGGCUCGGGCAUCCCUGGCCUCUAGUGGCGUGGCAGGGCGGCCUCCAGCAGCGAUGGCGGAACUCGGCCUCCGGUGGCGCACAGGCAGCGCAGCCUACCUGGUCAAAGGCGGCGCAACAGGGCGACCUCCCCAGCCUCCGGCGGCGCGCAGGGCAUCCAUGACCUCCCCGGCCUCCCUUGCCAGAGGUGGUGCGCGGGGCUGCGCCGACCUCCCCAACCAGAGGUGGCAAGGCCCCAGCUUACGGCGGCGCGUGGCUCCCCAGCUAGGGUGUGGUGGGGCGGCGGCAAGUCAGGCGUGGCCGCGUGGGGGUGGGGGGAGGGGGUUGGGCUGGGCGGAUUCAGAUAGUAUCCAUUUAACCAUCCGAAAUGUGGAUAUCCGUUUAACAAUCCGUUUAGCAAAACCGAAUUUGGAUACUUCCACUUAAGUAUCCAACUAGGAUUCGAAUGCGGAUGGUCCUACCAUAUUGUUAUUUCAGCGGAUACGAAUAUGGGAUAAUUCGAAUAACGACUUACCCAUCCCUGAUUAUAUCCGUGUAAAUAAAUAAUUGCGGCAGCAGGUUCCCGUCGCCACGCCCCCGUCAAACCAAACAAUUGCUUGCGCGACACCGUGUUACUAGAUCUUGUACAGUACUCCCUCCGUUGCAGUACUCCCUAAUGAAAGUUGAGAAUCGAUCGACAACCACGGCUAGUUGCUAUGCACUCGAUCAGAUGGUCCAGGCGCCCGCUGGUAAUCAGGUCGUGGUUCACGCGCAUCAGGCCAGCUAUGACGUUGCCAGCAGUGCUCAGUACACAAAUCUAGCUAUCAGUCGGAUCCAAUUGGGCAGGCAUUUGCACUGUGGUUGUGUUUGAACCUGUAGAUGUCGUUGUCAUUAUCAGGCACCAUACAUCCUCUCUCAGAGGGUGUUUCACCCCCUAAACUUUAGCCCCUCUCACAUCGAAUGUUUUAGAUACUAAUUAGGAAUAUUAAACAUAGAAAAUUUACUAAACCCAUUACAUGGAUGGAGGGUAAACGGCGAGACAAAUCUAUUAAAUCUAAUUAGUCCAUGAUUUGACAAUGUGCUGCUAUAGUAACUAUUUGCUAAUGAUGGAUUAAUUAGACUUAAUAGAUUUUUCUUGCUGUUUAGCCUCCGUCUGUGCAAUUAGUUUUAUAAUUAAUUCAUAUUUAGUCCUCCUAAUUAGUCUCCGAAUAUUUGAUGUGACACGGACUAAACUUUAGAUAGCACACCAGGGACCGACACCAUGCAUGCUGAUUUCAUAUCAUAAUUAAGGAAAGUGAUAUCAUAAUUAAGGAAAGUGGUAGCAUCCAAGAAAUCGAUCAUGUUUCUUCCCCCUUUGGCUUUCCUACUAGGAUUUGGAUAGCGGGCCUUCCUACUAGGAUUUGGAAUCCGCUAUCGCAUGACUAUCUUAAUUAUGUCCCAUAGUCCAAAACUCACAAAACAUCAAAAAUCCAUCGAGAAUAAAUUAAGUAAAAAACAUGCGCACACAGAUAAUAAUAAUAAUAAUCAUGUUUCAAUAAAAUUGCUAAGAUUAGAGAUAGUACAUAAACAUAUUAGAUUGUUCGUGACACAUAUCAUGGUGGAUAGUGUCUGUGUCCUUAUUACAAGCAGCGAUAGAUGCUUGUCACCACACACACGCACGCACAGAUGCACGACAUACAUAUAGUUGAGACCAACGGAUGGACGUCCCAUAGGGUGAAUAAUUUAUUGGAGAUAAAUAUUAACAUAACUUGGCCAUAGCUUGAAGCAUAGCAACAUAUGCUUAUGAAUGGCAUUCAUGCGGGUAGCAAUGCUAUCAUAUGCUUUUAGGCUUGUCCUUAGCUUCUUCCAUCUUAUAGCAAACACUGCCAUUUCUUCCAUCUUAGCAGCAACUGUCAAAUUAAUUGAGAUAUGGAAAUCCCAUUAGCGCAUGAGUUAAUUUUGCAGUGGAAAUAGAGUAGAAGAUGUCUUCAUAAUGUAAGUAAUAUGACUCUGACAUAGGGAGUGAAGUCAACAAAUUACAUUAACGGAAAUGCAUGGAAGGCCACGCAUAUGUAUUAGUCCGAUAUGCUACAAAGCUUGUAUGUACAUAUAAUAAAUUAAAUGCAUUGAAUAGAGUGAUUUUAGUGAAUUUACCUAAAUCGGAUUAAAAAACAUGGGAAACAACAAGUGUUCUUGUAGGGCUUUGUUUAGUUCCCAAAUUGGGAGUAGCAAAGUUUGCAUUUUACCAUAAAUGCGCAACUAUAGCAUGUAGCAUUUUGUUUGUAUUUGUGAAUUAUUAUCCAAACAUUGACUAAUUAGGCUCAAAAGAUUCAUCUCGCAAAGUACAACAAAACUGUGCAAUUAGUUUUUGAUUUCGUCUACAUUUAGUACUCCGUGCAUGUACCGCAAGUUUGAUGUGAUGGGGAAUCUUGCUUUUCAAUAGUGACAAAGUUGGGAUUUCGGGGGGAAGGCCUGUGUCGGAGCCACAUGCAAGAAUGGCUGACAUUGAGGCUCAGACAAAGCCCAAUGGCAACUGCUGACAUGCGAUUAAAUUUAGAUAUCCACAUCCAGCCAUUCACAUUUAUGAGAUAUGGACACGGUGCAAAUGGGUGGGGUCCUGAUAUGGAGGUGCGAAUGGCUGUCUACUUGUAUAGUGUAGCUCCAAUGUACGUAUAUGUAUCUUAUGCAUGUAUACAGUUGCACAAACUCUGAACCAACUCUUCAUAACAGGUCUUUGUUACCAAGUAACUUUACUUUUGCACGUUUCAGCCGAGAGGUAGAAGAGAAUAUUUUUGCAUUUUCCAUGUGCGUCAGUGGUAGAGAACUAGGAAUUAGUUCCGGAUGGUAGGGCACAAAUCUUCCAAACAACUAUCCGAAAUUAAGCAAUCGAGAUAAAGGGUGCCAUCUAUUCUCUCCGAAAAACACAGGUACCAAAAAGAAGAAGAGAAGAGGGAGGGCCUCCCGUUAAGGCCCGCUCGGGGUCUCCAUCCCACCACGCGCCCUCCCAACCCAAAGCCCAUCGUUUUCCCUCCGUCCCUCCCCUCUCCAUUGCCGCCGCCGCUCCCCUCAUCCGAGCUCGAUACGGGUGGUCGGCGGCCCCUCCUCUCCGCUCCCGCCCCCGGCCUCCCUUUGACCGCCGGGCGCCGGCAUCACUGCCGCGGCCAACCCCAGGGCGCAGCGCGUGCCUCUAUUUCUCUCCCCCGUUCAAGGGCCCUUUGAUGGCGACGAGCACCCACCCACCAGGUAUGCCCUCCCCUUCUCUUCCUAACCCUAAUAUAUUCGGAUCUCACCCAGUCACAAUAUAUUACCUAAUAGCUUCGAUUUUGUUUGCAAAAAUCAUCACGUGCGCACCCAUGUCCGCUAGAUUCUUGCGCCUGAUCCUGUGCUGCUAUGGUUUGGGCGGGGUAGACUAGUUGAUUCGUGCACUUUUGGGUGCUUGUAGUGCUAGGUUUUGGAGGGGGAUAGCCCAGUUGAUUCCUCCGUUUUGGGUGCUCAUGGUGAUAGGAUUUGGAUGGGGAUAGCCCCAAUGAUUCGUGCGCCUUUGGGUGCUGGGGAUAGUUUUGGGUGCCUGGAUAGUCCAGUUUCAAUGUCAGUAUAUGCGUAUUUUGGGGAGAAUUUUGUUUUGGGUGGUUCUGGUGCUAGAGUUUCUGAUGCUUAGUAGCCCAGUUUCAAUCAAAUUCCCCCAUGGGUCGUGCACUACGGGAAACAAGAAAAUUGCCGAGUGUAUUUUUUUUGUCGAGUGUUUUUUUUCGAGCACUCAGCAAACAAGCUCUUCGCCGAGUGCCAAGUCAAAAACACUCGGCAAAAAAAAACACUCGGCAAAUCGGGGCUUUGCCGAGUGUCAAAUAAAAAACACUCGGCAAAGAAGGGGGUUUGCCGAGUGUUAAAAAAAACACUCGGCAAACAGGAGGGUUUGCCUAGUGUUUUUUUGACACUCGGCAAAAAAAUAAUUGUUUUUCCUCUUUUCACCUUGAAAUUUUUUCUACUCCCCACAUACAACACGUGGUACUCCAUGUUAAAAUUUGGUAUAUUUUUGGAUUUAUUUGCUAUAUUUAUUUAAUUAAUUGCAUUACAAGGAAAUUUUUGGUAUAAGUCAAAUUUGAACUGCAAGUGAUUCAAAUUGUGGAACAAAAUGAGUAGAAAAAUGAUAUUCAUGUUAUUUGGCUCAAUUUGAGACCUGACCCAUGAAAUGAAAAGAAAUUUCGAACAUCUUGUUCAGGAAACACGACAAUGAACAUGUGGCGGUAGUAUUUUUAAAUUGUAAAAAAAACAAGCAAAGUCUGAAAAUCAUGAGAUUUGUAGUUAUGUGAUGAUAUAAUACGUGGAAGCUGUGGAAAAAAAUUGGAAAGGUUUUGCACAUUUCAUCAUGUACGAUGAUUACAAACCGAAGCAUAUCAGAAGAAGAAUAGUAACUUUGAGAAGGAUUCGAUAAAAUUUAGAGUCGAAGUGACGGUCGAGUUCGGUUUGACUACAAAACUUUUUGUAUAGUCAGUAGAGAACAUAUCUUAUUUCGUGUGAAAAUUUGGUAUUUUUUGAAACUGUUGGAUAUUUUUAAUUUUUUUUUAAAAAAACUUUGCCGAGUGUCCUAGGGUAGACACUCGGCAAAGAAAAACUUUACCGAGUGCCCGCCUAGGACACUCAGCGAACCUUUUUUUAAACCUACCGGCUCCGGCCGGCCCAGCCCACAAACACCACCCGCCCCCCGCCCCCGCGCCUUCUUCCUCACGCCGCCCCCGCCCCCCACCCGUGCCUCCGGACCGCCCCCUCCUCCCCCUGGCCUCCCCUCACGCCGCCCCCCUCCUCCCCUAGCUCCCUCCACCGGCGGCCCUCCCUCCCCCGGCGCACAUCCUCCACUCCUCCUCCCCUUCCCUUCCCUCCCCUCCCCUCCCCUCUUCCUCCCCUGGCCGGAUCUGGCGCCCCUAGCUCCCCUUUCUUCCGCGGCCAGAUCUGGCGCCCUCCCGGCGGCGGGUCGUGGCGAUCGGGGCGGCGGCGGCGGAUCAGGCCGCGGGGCGGCGGCGGCGGCGGGUCGUGGCUACCGGGGCGGCGCCCUGCCCCUCCCCUCCCUCUCCAUCUCCGGCUGCCGUCCACCCCCUCCCCGGAUCCGCCCCCCUCCCCUCCGCGCGGCCAGCCCCUCCUCCCUCUCCGGCCGCCGCCCCGGCCCCUCCUCUCCCUUUCUCCGGCCACCGCCCCGCCCAUCUUCUCUGGAUCCGGCCGGAUCCGGCCGCCGCACAGCCCCUCCUCCCCGGAUCCGGUGGGCGCGGACUUCGUGGUGGUGGCGCCGGAUCCCUCCCCUCCCUCUCCAGAUAACUCCCUCCACUCCUCCGCUCUUCCCCUCUCUCGCGCGGCGGCCUCUCUCCGGCCGCCGCCCCGCCCCUCUCCCCGGAUCCGGGGGGGGGGGGACUCCGCCCCUCUGCCCCGGAUCCAGCUCCCCGACCCGCGAGUGGGGCGAGCUUGCUCAUGCGGUCGACGUCGAGGCCAGGGUGUGGUGGAGGUGGUGGCCGGCGGGUGUGGUGGUGGUGGCGGCGGCGGGCAUGGCGGCGCGGAGGCAAGGCACGGCGGCCGGUGGGAGGCACGGGUGCAAGGCGUCGACGGCAGGAGGCAAGGCACGGCAGCAUGGGAGGUGGUGCUGUGGUGGUGGUGCUGGCGGUGGUGGCGGCGGCGGAGCAGGAUGUGGUGGUGGCGGAGGAUGUUUUUUUUUCAAAAAUUUGUUGCCGAGUGUUUUCUCGGCACUCGGCAAAGACUUUACCGAGUGCCCGACACAAAACACUCGGCAACUCAGUGUUUGCCGACUGAAAAAUUGCCGUGUGCCGUUUGCCGAGUGUUACACUCGGCAAACGGUUCGCCGAGGGUUUUUUGCCCUUCGCCGAGUGCCCCUAGCACUCGGCAAUUUCACUAUCUCCCGUAGUGGUGGCUGGACUUAUGGGGGGAUCAUUGAUGGGGGACUAGUUGGAUACUUUUUGGCUGUUUUGGGAGUCCUUGGCAGCGGCUUCUCAGGGCGUACGUAGCCCAUUGUAGAUUCCAGCCGAGAAGAUUAAGGAAUUGUGACUGCAACCAUGUUACUUUUCUAGGACUCUGUUUCUGAUAUUGUUCCCGCUGCAUCUUUUCAUCCCCAUGGUGAAUGUUGCUGUUGAUCUGUAGAUUGGAUUUGUUCCUCGGUAGCUUUAUUAGAUUUGUGCUGAAUGAUAAUCUCUGCCUGUGAUAUUUUUCUUCAUUGCGGAUGUGUGCCGAGUAUUAUCCCCUUUGUUCAUUCUGUUGGCUUUUUUUAUUGUCUCUGUACUCGGCUGUUCAGCUUGUGCAGCUAAUGAUCUAAUGUAUUUUGUCGUAACUAUGUAUUUUUCGGAUGUGUGCCGAGUAUUAUCCCCUUUGUUUAUUCUGUUGGCUUGCUUUCAUUGAUCUUAAGAUAACUGGUGCUAUAAAUUCACACUAGCUGAUGCACUUGCAAAUAGCUAUGUAAAUAUGAAAAGAAGUAUUUUUUUAUCCUUUUGUUUGUUUGGCAUCAUAUCUGUUUAAAUGGCAUAGCAAUAAGAAUUUUUUGUUUUUGGGGAAUCAUAUCUGCUUAAAUGGUAUAGAAAAUGCUGAGUGCACUGUCAAAUAGAUUUUCCAGCAGUCUGCUUUCAGUUGUUUUUGCAAAUCCUCACAGGCCAGUGAACUGACUUUGUUUUUACCACCCCAUGCCAUUUAAAUGACUAAAUCAGUCAGCCUAAUACUAUAUAUGGUCAUGCUAUGAUCUUAUUUCUUGAAGCUCUAUAGGUCAACCCAUAAGGGUAACUUAGUUUUUCCUAUUCUGGCUGGGGAAGUGGAUACGAUGGCUAUCCUUGGUAGAGUUAAAUACAUUGGCGGCUCUUAGCGCGCCAAUGUGGCACCACAAUAUCGAACAUAUGUAGAAACCCCCUUGUUUUUUCUCAUAUCCCUCUCUCUCAGCGUCCUCUUCUCUUCUUCUCCUCUGUCUCCUCCCCUCCCAUCGCGUGCUUUAUUGCGCCGCCGCCAUCCGCCUCCAUGUAUGAACACGUCGUUUGUCAUGAAGAAGCAGUUGAUGAGGCAAUCAAGCAUGUGGUGCACAAGGUUCUUCUGCUGGCCAAGUCCGAGUCGAACAGCCGCGCAUUCAUUGGGGAAGCACGCGCCAGGCAUCACCAGGCUCCUCGUGCCCCUACUCUGCUCCAAGGACUCGGUGCUUCGACGCGCUGCUUUCCCUGUCCGGCGAGCGGGGAUCGUUGGGAGAUGAUCGAUGGAGGAUGGAGCUGAUCCUCCUGUACACGGUGCCGGUGGGGAGCAGGGAGCUGCGGAGCAGGUCCACGGGCGGCGCCAUUACAGCAGGUGCAGGCUAAGGGUAAUGAGCAGAUCGAGGCGAUGGAGGAGGACCCGCACGAGGUGCAGCUUCUUCGCCUCCUGCGCAAAGUCAGCGCCCAAGCAGCCGCUGAGGGACAGGCCGAGGCUUAGCUCGAUCUCAUCCGACUAAAUGGUGGCUGCACUCCCACAGUCCCACUGGUGCUCCUCCCUUCUGUCCGAACCUGCCGAGGAAAUCCCUCGAUGCCAUGGGUCCCGGCUGGACGACUACUCCUCCCACAGAUUGACUGAGGAAGAAGAGCUUCUCAGUGUCCAAAAAUUCAGUUACACUGGAAACAGCAACCAAUUACGUUCUUCCGGCUCAGCCAAGCCCCAAUCUCCUUGCUUCUGUGCGCCCCUGCUAAAUAUUCCAGAAACCAAUCUGGUUAGUUGUUUUUUCACAUUUUCAGUGCAUGCCGGUGCUGCUGUGUGCGGCAUGCAUGGAGUUGUCGUGGGAGUGCACGGUGGCUUAGCUGGUGCGCCAGUGCGCGGGCACGAACACAACGGUGAAGAUGGCAGGGCCAUCUCAAAGCUCCUGAGCACCUGCACGCGUCGCUGAGCAGGACAUGCUGCGACGGUGGGCGAGCGCUGCUAACGCCCUGGGGAAGAGCAGUGGGUGCAGAGAGAGGGAGCGAGGGAGAGGGGUUCUUGUAUAUGUUUGCUAGCGUGGCACCGUUUACGGUGCCCGCCUAAGUGGCAUUCACGUGUCAUUCAUCCCAAAUGGUGUUGCAAGGUUGAACCUAUUGUGGGAGGCUUUUGGUUUCCCUUGACAGUAUCACCAGUGAUAUCACUGCGUUCUGGUUAUGUAUGAAACACUUGUCCUUUUAAAACCUUUCUGAAUUUAGAAACGAAUUUGAAACAUUACCCUCAUUUCCAUGUUUUUCUAUCUUUUGUCCCUGUAAAAUCAAACUAAAUUUGAAUUAUUAUGUUCAGAACUACAAGCUGAUUUACUUGUCCCAUUUGCUAAUAACAGGGCCUUGUGAUUUCUAAUGAACAUUGCAGAGCAUGUUAUAAAGCGUAUGCAUGAACACCAAGGGGAUGAAACCAUUGGUAUAUUUCUCACAACCUUUUGAACUUAUCAUUUAGCAUAUUUGUGUUCUAGUGUGACGUUUCAGCCACGAGACAUGAGAAAUGUUAGCUAUGGAUUUUGGUUAUUCAUCAUGGGUUCACAGAUUUGUUUUUCUCUAAAAGAAUUGGGAAGUAGCUUUCUUUCUGGGUAUAUGUGGGGAAAUGCAUAUGCAAUCUUUUAUUUAUUGAGGUGACUGUAAAAUUCUUGUCUGACUGAAUAUGCGAUUUCAACCUACAUGCUAUACUUAGGGAAAUUUGUGAAUCUCCUAAUGUCUGCUGCAUGGCAUGAAUGCAUAUUUUACUGGUCCAUAAUGUGAAGUUCUGUAUAUAAACUUCUCGUGUUGACCCUUUAGAACAUGCUAACUGGAGAGUUUUCUAGAGUAGUUAAACAAGAGAUUUAGUUAAAUCUGCACACAUAGGUGGGGCCUGGCAUACCCUAAGAAUCGGCCUAGCCGGUCAGCCCAUUAGUAAAAAAAAAAGCACCGCAGUCAGCAGUCCCCACGUUGGUCUUCCUCGAGUCGCGACUCGCGAAGCUCCCAUCCUCCGAGUCCAAGAUGGUGGACUGUGUCGAGCGCGGGGCGGGCGAUUAGUUGCCCGGCCGCCGGCGGGGGAUGGCCGGACGGCCAGAUCGCCGACUCCUCUAGUCCUCCCUCCAGCCUCUGCGCUUCUUUCACAGUGGAGCUAGCGGCGAGGCGCCCGACCGACACCCUUCUUCCCAAAUCCCGGCAGCCCUACCUCGAUUUGGCCUCCUCCGAUCAUUUGAUAAUCAAUUUGAUGAAAUUAAUAUGGAGUUGCUUUCUUGUAUGGUUGCCUUCAAUCCUGCUAAUUCAUUUGCUUCAUUUGAUGCACAAAAGAUACAUAGACUUGCUAUAUUUUUAUCCACAAGACAUCACAAGCACGGAUUUGCUAAAACUUGAAUUCCAGCUCGAUAUUAUAUUGAUGAUGUGAGAUAGGAUGAUAGUUUCAAAGGCCUACAAGAUCUUGUUAACUGAGACUCAGUUAAGCUUGUUGAAACAAACAGGCAUAAUAUUUAUGACUUGGUUUACUUGCUUCUCAAAUUGGUAUUGGUUCUUCUUGUGGCGACAGCUAGUGUUGAAAGGGAUUUUUGUGCAAUGACUUUGAUCAAGAGUAAGCUAAGAAAUAAGAUGGGUGAUAGUCUUUUGGAUGAUUGUCUUAUCACAUUCAUUGAGAAAGAUAUUUUCUUUGAAGUGGAUGAAGAAGAUAUAAUUAAGACUUCAUAUCCAUUAGAAAUCGUAGGCUGGAGAAGAAGUAAUAUUUUAAUUUUCUUUGAACGUUAGGUCUGUAAGCUUCUUUUAAACUAUCUACAUUAUAAUUUAUGGACCUUUUAAUUUAACCGUUGAAUUCAUGAUAUUAUGAGAUUUUUUUAUCUAUGUUAUUAUUGUUUACCGAUUUAUUACCAAAUUAUUAGUUUGAUCUUACAAUAUUGUAUUUUGGAUGAUUGGCUCGGCAUACUCUAAGUUUAAAUCCUAGCUCCGCCACUGUUUGCACAUUAAUGUGGCUUAUAUGUGUGGAGUCACUUAACCUAUGCACUUGGACCUCCACUCCCUUAGGUUUUAUGAACCUAAUUUGACAGCCUGCUCGUCUUUUAUUUUCUACCAAUCAGCUAGGAACGAACAUGGUGAUGUUUGCAUCUCUGCCAUCAAUGGCUUACAUGUCAUUAUGUAUCACAUUAGCAAGUCUUGUUUUGUUAUUGGCUGGGAUGACGGGGACUCUAGCUGGAAUUGAAUCAAAGUGGUAGAUCACAGGGUAUUCAUUGCCAUGUAUUUCUGCAGUUGCAUGGACUUGCAUCAAACGGACCUUCCUACUUAUGUGAUUGUCCUAUAUGAUCUCCUUUGAUUUCAUUUGCACACUGUAAUCACAUUAGCUAGAACACUCGCUUUUUGCUUCAAAUUUGAAAUUCAUAUCAUGAUGGACUAGAACGCUGAAUUUCUUGAUUGCUGAGUUACUAAUCACAUUGUGGCGCUGCCAAAGAAGCUGGACUCUUCAUUGUUGUUGCCUUGUGGGCUGCCGUGUGCAAAGAACAAGAGCGCACGGUAUUAUAAUAGCAGAGCAGAACACAGACAAGCGACAAGGAGCGGAGCAGAGCAGAGCACAGCCAGGCACAAGCAGUAGAGUAGAGCAGAGCAACCGGGAGAGGAGAGGGCACAUAUGCAGAGUAGAGCAGAGCCAAGCGCAAGCAUUCAUGCACUCAAGCAUGCAGCAGAGGUGUAGCAAGGCAAGCACAAGCAGCAGAGCAGAGGGAAGGGAAGGCUGGGAGAUGAAUAGGCGAAUAGUUACCUGGACAGAGCAGAGGGAAUGGAGAUGAUGCAGAUGCUUCCGGAGACUCGAGAUUUGGAGAGGAACAAGGCCACGUUGUGAACAAGGUCUCCUUUCUCUUCUCUAUUUCCCGCGCAAGUACUUGUGCAUAGUGGCUGCCUCAUCCUCCAGGACGUCCACUUCAACCUGAGGCGGGUGCCACAGACAUCCUGGCUAUGCGACGGCUACCCCCAGCACACCCCCGGCGCCUAUGAACCAUGAUCCUAAUACUAUAAAUUGUCAACCUUGUAAUCUUAUUUCAAGCAUGCUCUCUAUGUCAACCUGUAAGGUUAACUUCGUUUUUCCUUUUCUGGGUAGGGGAGUGGAUAUUGCUGUUAUUUAUAUUAUGUUGAUAUUGGUUUCCACAUGUCAUUCACCCCAAAUGUGUUGCAAGGUUGAACCUAUCAUCGGAGGAAUUUUUUUCCCUUUACCUUUAUAUCACUACGCUCUGGUUAUGUAUGAAACACUUGUCUUCUUAAAAACCUUAAUUUAGAAACAAAUUUGAAACACUAUCUUCAUUUACAUCCUGUAUGUGUUUUCUACCUUUUGUCCUAUAUGAUCUGCUUUGAUUUGAUUUGUGCAUAGUUUUUUCAAUUCAGACCUGGUGAUUUCUGAGGUUCAUGUUGUGCUGAUAAGCAGCCUACUAUUCAGUAACACUUUCAUGUGGCAUGUUCAUGUUAGCUAGCUAGAAACACUGCUUUUAGCUUCAAAAUUCAAAUUCAUGACAUGAUGGACAUUGACAAUGAAUUUCUUGAUUGCCGAGCUAUGUACACUGUAAUUCAGACCUGGUGCUUUUAGUUUUUUUCUUGAUUGCCGAGCUAGAAACACUGUGCUUUUAGUUUUUUCAAUUCAGACCUGGUGAUUUCGGUUUUUUCAAUUCAGACCUGGUGAUUUCUGAGGUUCACGUGUCACACCGAUUUUAAGAACAAAAUCGAGUGCAUUAAAUAUACAUGUACGCUAGGAUCAGGUUACACACAUGUACGACAUAAGCGAAUAUCAAAGACAAUGCCAUAACGAAAUAAAGAGAGUAUUAAUCAUUAUUACAUGACCGAAAGUCUCAAAUAAACCACAAAAUCUAUUUAUUACAUAGCGGAACUUCUAAGAUAGCAACGUCUCCACAGGCAGCUGACUGAAGAACUGUAUGCCUAGAACUCUUCAAAAUCGUGCAGGUACUCCUCCAGAUUAGCUUGGUAUGAACAACGGUUUUGCAAGGGUGAGUACACUUAUGGUUGGUACUUAAUAAGUCGUGGGAAACAAUGUAGUGUAAGGCAAAUCAAGGUAUGGCUAAGGCUUAAACAGCAUCAGCUUUUAAUUUAGUUGGUCAAAUUUUAUUAGCAAUUAAUUAGACGUAAAUUUAUACCACCCGAAAUUAAACAAGAACAUGAAUAAAAUAAUAACAUAACCAUAAAUGAAAUGACAACAAUUUAAAUCCAUCUUUUCAUAGCAUUAUCAUGUGAGGGUCCAGUCCGUUCUUAACCGUGAGCACCGCUGAUCGAUCAGUUUUACACUCUGCAGAGGUUGUACAUCUUUACCCACAAGUCGCGUAAAAGUUCAAAAGAAUUUUGGACCCAACCAUGCGGUAUUUGCAAGGCACCAUACCACACUUCCAAGGUGUGAUUGCAUAUGAACGCUACGAGGCCUUUACAAAGAUUCAUUAGUAAGUGGUAACCCGCUAAGGUUUCGGUAUUUGGCGUGCACAACCUAUCACAGGCCGCUAAUGCAACGACUCAGUCCCCCCUCUUGCCUCAUCACGAGUAAGAUUACCCCAGACUAAGGUUUCUAAUUAUUCAGCCAAGAUCAGAACCAUUUAGUCUUGUGGUAGCACUGUUUUCCUGGGUGGUUCUCCAUGUUCCGAUUAAACAUAAUGGUCUUGUAUUAAUGGAAGGUAUAACAUAAAUAAUACCAAAUUAAUAAUAAUUCAGAUUAAAUCACCAUAACCAUAUUUGAGCACUAAGCAUGAGCUACCCAACAUAAAUUUAACCCGGUUGGUCAAGGCAAGGUAGAUAAAGUCUAGGAAAUUCUUAAUUGGGACCCAUCAAGUUUAAAUUAUACUUUGCAUGGUAUGUUGCAUAGAACAUGAAAGUAAAUGUGAAUAGGACUGAAAAGGAGUGAUUAGGGACACGACUUGCCUUUUUAACCUUGUUCUUGCUGUUCGUACUCUUCGAAAACUUUGAUCUUCAAAUCCCUUGAACUGCUGACCGUCUACACGCGUCACACGACCACAUACAAGCAAACAAAUAUAAUACAUAAGAAAACAGUACACCAAUCAUAAUUAAAUAGAAGAAACAAAUUUGAAAAGCUAUUCUACGCAUUAAAACGAAAACACGGAUACAAGGAACGUUAAAAACGGAGCUACAGUGCAAAAACUACGCUUAAAACAAGAUGCAGGGGUAUAACUACGAGAAACCAAACUUCCAGGGAUUUAAUUUUAAAUAAUUUUGAACUGCAGAAGGGGCAGCAGGGCAAAACGUAGAAAAUGCAGGGGCUUAAGCGCAAAAGCAUGGCUGCUGACUCAGCUGACUUGAUGUGGAUCGUCGGAUGGCGAUCCGGCGGCCGGCAGCUGCUGCGCUGACGUCAGCGACGGCGAGCGCCGGCGAAAAACGGCAGUUCGCCGGAAUCGCCCGGGAACGCGCGACUGGGUGCAGAUUUGAGCGAGGAUUAGACUAGCAGAUAGAAACGAGCGCAGUGAACUCAUUUGGGAUGCCUACGGCGAGGACUUGGCGACGGCAUCGGCUCCGGCGAGAACUUGCGGCAGGGAAACCAAAUAAAAUAAAAUAACACGGUUCAGAGAAGCGGCGCUGGAGGAACGCGAGCGAUUUUGCGUGCGAGCGGAAGAAAACACUGCGAGGAAGAUGACUGCGGGCCCUGCUUGUCUGCGGCAGGAGGAGAGCUGCGUGCGAGAAGAACCUGGCCACGAUCUGGGCCGUUGCCUUCGAUCUGGGCCGAGGCAAGCUAGCUGGCCCGCUGCUGCGGAAAGGUGCUGGGCCACGGGCGGAGCACAGCGUCGGGCCAGAAAGGAGAUGGCUGCUGCGAGGAAACAAAAGAAAAUGAACUGGGCUGCGACAGAGGAAAACUGGGCGUCGGCCAGAAAGAAGCUGCGUGCAGCUUGCUCUUGUUUCCGAACUAGAAACAGGAACUGACGGAAAGACAGAAAUCAAUUGGAGACUGAAACUGACGCCCCAGACUCUGAACUUCGAAAAAACAGGACAACCAGCCAACUGACAGAAAAAAAAAAGCUUAACAACCCAAAAGCAGUACACAACCACGAAACCAGGCCACAAGACUGAAAAAGCUUGAUAGGAACAUCUGGCGACUGAACCAAAAAACUACAGAACUGCAACUGAAGAACUAGAGAACAGAUAAAUAACUGAUUGAACUCUGAAACUGAAACACCAAAGAGCAGGAAGCUGACUGACGGAAAAUGCAAAACAGCAACCCAAGGUGAAACACAAAUUCUUCUUCAAGCAUUCAAACAAAGAGAUAUGCAACAGCAUGAAUGCUCAAUAAAAUCCUAUAUUUCAUUAAUUAAUUAGAAAAAAUGCUCAAAUGCCUAGAAAAAUGCAAAAGUGACCUUAUAUGCCUUAAACAAGCAAAUUCGUUUCUAGCGAUUUUUGGUAAAAUGCAAAAUUAGAGAUUUUGGGUGUUACAUCAUGUUGUGCUGAUAAGCAGCCUACUAUUCAGUAACACUUUCAUGUGGCAUGUUCAUGUUAGCUAGCUAGAAACACUGUGCUUUUAGCUUCAAAAUUAAAUUCAUGACAUGAUGGACAUUGACAAUGAAUUUCUUGAUUGCCGAGCUAUGUACACUGUAAUCACAUUGUGGGGCUGAUAAAAUAAGCAGCGUUGAGACACAUAACAAUUGAAUCUUAAGCUUCACACAGAAUCUGGACCAGUCAUCCUCAUUCCUGUCAUGCUGGAAAUGUCUUUGAUACAUUUCAAUCACAGGCAAUUGAAUUCGUACUGGGGAGGAUGGCAAUGGUGCAUGAAGAGAGAUCAAUGUGGCAAAUCUCACAUUGUUCAUUACCAGGUAUCUCCGAUUUCUGGUUAUUUUAAAUUUACCUUGACAUGUGACUUAUUGAGGUAUUGUAUUUCAUCUAAUGGUAGUUCUGAAUUUAUGGUAACCUUGGAUGGGGUUUGUCACUUUAUACACGCACGGACUUACAAAGGACAGCAAAUGAGUAUAUUUAGAGGGCUCCUGUCCAACCAUGGACUAUACUUAUGUACCCUUUUUUGACAUGGUAAUUUGAGGUUAAUGGAAAAGUAGCGAUAGUCGCCUCCAGCGAAGCUACCUUCUUCGAAAGCUCCGAGGCUGCUUUCUCGCUCUUAGCAAGCCGAUCCCUCGUAAUCAUCGAAGAGUAAGAGACCUACAGAUUUUAAAAACCAAGUUACCAAAAAUAACGAAGUAAAAGACAACACUCGCAAGACAAACCACCAAACUAUCUCAUAAUUGUACCUUCUUUACGAGGUUCGCCUCCAAGUUAAAGAGCUCUUCCAAGAUCAUUGACUUCACAGCUUGCUGAAAAUCUAUGCGCCAAAGGAUAUAGUCGUAAGCAUAAAAUAAAAAUUGGUAAAAACCAAGGACAGCAAAGCCAUCUACAAGCUGUUCUUACCCUCAUACUUUCGCACCUCAACGGCGAUCGGAACAACCUUCUCUCUAGCCUCGCCCUUAGACGCCACCACAAUCUUCCCGCCACACAAAUCCACAACCCCUCCUUUACCUUUGCCCUCUCCCGAAGUCGUCGUGCCCGCCUUCUCCACCCUUUUUGAACCGCCAACAUCUGCAUAGCGCUCGCAACCUUCACCUUCAGCCCCCCAGACCAAAGACAGGUUGUGAGGAUUAUAAACCCUACCUUCGGCGCAUGUAGCUAGAAUCUCCGUGCGCCCGCUCAAGCCCAGACACUCAUUCAGUCCCUGAAGCCCCGCCGGCAACCUCUCACCUACAUCAUAACAUUCAACUUUUAGCCUCACAUGAUCCUCACAACUAACCUUACCAACGCCCCCCAUAGUUUCUUCCAAGUCCUUCAAAAAUUUCGUUGAGGCCUCACCACAAUCAAAGAACCGUAGCAUCGAUAGAAACACCUCUACAUGCUUACCAGAUCUCACAGCUUCGGCACACCCACCCUUUGGAUCAGAUGAGAACGCAUCCACAAGCUUCGCCUUUUCGGUGGCAAACCCCCUCUCAAGUUUCCCAACAUCAGUCAAGAGAUGUUGCGCGCUCUUAAACUUCGAGCUUAUGGAAGGCACCGUGAUCUUGGUACCAGCUGCCGAAGACGCGUCAACCUUGGCACCCGUAACAGUAACAGGAGCAAAUCGAGGUUUCUUGGCGCCUCUUUUGAUCCGUGCGGCGGGCCCGGUGGAUGAAGGUGCAAGAGCUGGAACCUCCUUAGGAGGGCGCAUAGAGACAGGAACAACAUAUGCCGGAUUGCUCAAGUCGCCAGACGAAGCUGUCGACCACGAUGGCAACAUAGCAGACGAAGCCCCCGCGGUCAUUUCCUUCCUUUUUUGCGCCUCCAAAUUCAAGGUCUUUUGCUUCGCCUUAGCGGUCACUUGCAAUUCAAUAGUGAGCUUCACCAUGGGUACGAAGUCAAAUUUUGCCUUUUUCCUCUGCUCAAGACUAGCACCGCGACGGCGCCUCUUGCCCGUAACUUUGGGGUGAGGCAGAACCACAAUAUCAUACAAGUCAAAAAUCUAAGAUGAUGACAUUCCAUUUGUAUCCAUGAUUUAUAUUGUGUUCCUUGAAUAUCCAUUAAAGUCUACUUGAAUUGAUUUGCAAUUAUGUGAAUUGUAUGUGAAACUCUUUCCUUGUAUGGUUAUUCUAAAGUUGUCCCUAGUCGGAGUUCAUGUGAGGACACAUGAAUAUUAGACUAGCACAUGUAUUAGUUGAUGACUAUGUUUCACAAGUCAUGGACAUGAAGAUGUGGAACUAAUAAUGUGGGCACAUGUGGAGACACGUGCUAGGACUGACCCAACACGAGAAGUAGUUCUCUCUUUAUACAACAUAUACGCUUUGUCCUUAGACCUGAGAUUGUCGCAUGUACUCAAGAUGUGGAUCGACUUACUUAGGGGCUAUCAAAUUCUACGCCGUAACAGGGUAGUUAUAAAGGUAGCUUUCGGGUUUGUCAAGAAGCAUGCUAUGAGACAUGGUCAAUCAAGAUGGGAUUUGCCCCUCUCUGAUUGAGAGUGAUAUCUCUGGGCCCCUCGAGUGAUCGGAUCCGAAAAUGCAUGGCCAUGCUACAUACGAUUAAGAGUUAGCCUACAAAAGGAUUCCGAAUCAUAGGAUCGAGAAAGAGCGGUCGGCUUGAAGCUAGACCAAAUAUCGUGAGGCAAAGGGAAUAGCAUGUAUAUAAUGUUGUGAUGGUUCGUCUGAUAUGAUCUUCGUGUGCGUAUAGGAGUUGGCACGUCUUGCUAGAGGUCGCUACCGACUAUUGGGCCGAGUAGGAGUACUCAGGCCAUGUCUAUACGUAUCCGAACCCAUAGGGUCACACACUUAAGGGGCUGGAAGCCCAAUUCGGAUGUGAUCCGAAUUGGAUUAGGUUUAGAAGUACUAAUGGGCCUUGGACCUAGAGGCCCGUUAGGAACCUCUAUAAAUAGAGGGGUGGGGGCGCCCUAGGGUUUACACCUUUUUGGUGAAACACAUCUGCCGCGCCUCCCACGCCUUCGCCUGUUGCAACUCGCGGACCUAGCAGUCCGGCUUGCGACGCUUCCUCCCUGCACGUGUGGAUACCUUGGAAGUGUUGCUCCUGCAGCACUUGGACGAGCCGCCAACGAGCCACGACGAGCCACGAUGAGCCGACGAUGAGCCGCGGCACGAGGGGGAUCUUGCUGCACGUGGACGAGCUGCUGAGGAGCUGCUGGACGUCGAUGUGUUCGACUACGUACGACUACGCUGAUCGACUUCGCUGCAUCAACGCGAAUCUACAUCUUCCGCAUCAUUGCAUCGAGUGGUAAUCCCGUGAUCCUGAUACGGCAGUUUUCCUAGUUUACGCGGUAGAAAAUUUUGUUUUGUGCUAGUGUAGCCUAACUCAUAUCCCAACAACGUGUGCUAUAGGUCACGCAAGCCUGAAAAUGGCCACACCGGACACCGGGUACGAAAACAUGGGGGAUGGACCGAACAUUUGAAAAUGGCCUCCAUAUGUGUUUUCGGCUAUGAAAAUGUGUGUUAUAGGUCACAGAAGCUUGAAAACGGCCGCACCAGCCACUAGGGACGAAAACGUGGGGGAUGGACCAAAGACAUAAAAAAUAGCCUCCAGACGCGUGUUCGGCCAUGAAAACGUGUGGUAUAGGUCCUGGAAGGCCAAAAACAGCUACACCGGCCACCUGGGACGAAAAAGUUUGUGUAAGACCGAACACUUGAAAAUAGCCUCUGGACGCGUGUUCGGCUAUGAAAAGGUGUGUUAUAGGUCACACGAGCCCCAAAACAACCACAGCGAACACCAGCUACAAAAACAUGGGGGAUGGAUCGAAUAAUUGAAAAUGGCCUCCAGACGUUUGUUCGGCCAUGAAAUCGUGCGUUAUAGGUCGCGGGAGCCCGAAAACGGCCACACCGGCCACCGGGAAUGAAAAUGUGGGGGAUGGACCGAACAAUUAAAAAUGGCCUCCGGAUGUGUGUUCGGCCAUGAAAACGUAUGUUAUAGGUCACGGGAGCAUGAAAACGGCCGCACUGGCCACUGGGGACGAAACGUGGGGGAUGGACCGAAGACGUGAAAAUAGCCUCCAGACGCAUGUUCGGCCAUGAAAAUGUGUGCUAUAGGUCAUGCAAGGCCAAAAACAGCUGCACCAGCAACCGGGGACGAAACCAUGGCUGUCAAACCGAACGCUUGAAAAUCGCCUUCGGACGCGUGUUCGGAUAUGAAAACAUGUGUUGUAGGUCACGCGUGCCCGAAAACGUCCACAACGGACACCGGGUACAAAAACGUGGGGGAUGGAUCGAAUAACUGAAAAUGACCUCCGAACGCGUGUUCGGCCAUGAAAACGUGUGUUAUAGGUUGCGGGAGCCCAAAAAUGGCCACACCGGCCACCGAGGAUCAAAACGUGGGGGAUUGACCGAACAAUUAAAAAUGGCCUCCGAUUGUAUGUUCGGCCAUGAAAACGUGUGUUAUAGGUCAUGGGGGCCCAAAAAUGGCCGCACCAGCCACCAAGGACGAAAAUAUGGGAGAUGGACCAAAGACAUGAAAAUGGCCUCCAGAUGCAUGUUUGGACAAAAGUGUGUGCUAUAUGUCGUGCAAGGCCAAAAACAGCUACACCAGCCACCGGGACAAAAACGUGGGUGUUUGACUAAACAAGUGAAAAUGGCCUCCGGAAGCAUGUACGGCUAUGAAAAUGUGUGCUAUAGGUAAUGGAAGGCUAACAAAAGCUACACCGGCCACCGGGGACAAAAUCAUGGGUGUCAGACUGAACACUUCAAAAUGGCCUCCGGACGCGUGUCCGGCUAUCAAAACGUGUGUUAUAGGUCAUGCGAGCCCGAAAACAACCACACUGAACACCGGGUACAGAAACAUGGGGGAUGGACUGAAUAACUGAAAAUGGCCUCUAGACGCGUGUUCGGUCAUGAAAACAUGUGUUGUAGGAUGCGGGAGCCCGAAAACGGCCACACCGGCCACCAGGGCAUGGACCAAACAAUUGAAAAUGGCCUCCGGAUGUGUGUUCGGCCAUGAAAACGUGUGUUAUAGGUCACGGGAGCCCAAAAAUAGCCGCACCGACCACUGGGGAUGAAAUCGUGGGGGAUGGACCGAAGAUGUGAAAAUGGCCUCCAGAUGCGUGUUCGGCCAUGAAAACGUGCGCUAUAAGUCAUGUAAGGCUAAAAAUUGCUACACCGGGACUAAAGCAUCCCCCAUGAGUUACAAUAAAAGGAUUGUAUCCUCUACUCAGUCGGAUGUACUGUGUAGGUGAGAUGGUAAGGAAGCUAUGCGCGAGGUUUGAGGUUGUGGGUUGAAAUCCUACGCACCGCGCGCACACGCGCAUAUUUUGUGUGAAAAAUCAUGUGACUUGUGAUCGGCCAAGGAGAAGUGGGUGCAGCUGUGGCUUAAGUGGCUGAGGCACGCUGCCAUAGACAUCUCCGAUUUGCUCGAAGACUACCAAGACACUAGCAAUAACAAGAACUACUGCUCUUCCUAGCAGACUCUUUACAACCACUUUAAAGCUGUGCAUUUCUCAAUGUAAUUUCGUAGAAGGCAAUCGAUCCAACCAAGCGACUAAAUCAUUUGUUCUUGCCAAUGAUGUACAUCAGGUUUUCUAUAUGAAGGACAUGUCUAGCAAACCUAAGAUUUUAGAAGAAAAAGAAAAAUUAUGGGAGUCAAUAAUAAAUCAGGCCAAUCAGGAGAUUAUAGUAAGCUCGAUGGUAUGCCUCCAUUCGAUGUCGAAGUUGGCCCAAGCAUCAUGUUAGCCAAAGAUCAAAUGUUCGUGCAUUGCUACGGUAAAGAUCAAUUGUGUCUUUUAAACCCAUGGAAUUUUUUAUCUAUGUUUUUAUUACACUUAAUGGAUGUCUACACAUUUGCUAGAAAAUCAAAAUAAUUUUGACUUAAUUAUUUCUUUCAACUCAAAUACUCAUUAAAUUUCUACCUUUUUAUUUAAGCAAGAGAGUUGCUCAAAAAAUGGAUACGUAACCAUGUUGUAUCAUACAAAGCAACCACAUUUCACAUAUAGUCUGGCUUAGCAAACACCAUUGUUGUCUUAACAUAGUGUUCAUGAGUUAGUAGACAUGGAUCUAUUUCUAAUUGCAAGUAGUGCAGCGUACAACCAGCCUGCACCGCCGCAGCUCAAUAUGCGAUAAUUUUUUAUCUUCCCAUGUAAUUUUUCUACUCUAGUACAUAUUGAACUCCACAUAAAUGUCAUGUUCUUUCACGCCACAGACGGUUUCUAAAGUUUGGAACUAAAUAGAUAGCCAAAAAUUUUAAAAAAAUAUUUAUAUGGAUACAUGUAUGUUCUUUGCAAACUAACAAUAUUGUUUACAAUAUCAAAAGGAAUAUGGCUAUGAUCAUUGCCGCAUAUGGCAGGUGAUGGUAGAUGCCGUAUGGGGUUUCUUUAACUUAAUUGUAUAAUAAGCUGAAAUACAUUUUCUAUUUGCAAAUGAAUCAUAGCUGAAAGUGGUGGGAUUGUAGAACCGCCGGCCAUCGUGUCCUUGUAGGACCGCUGCACGAGCCUGUGAGCCACCAGCCACCAUGCGCCCAAGGGCCAUCACCACGCCAUAAGAGGAUGCUGUCUACCCGGUUUCGCGCGCCUGUGCUAGCUGCCUGAACCUGGGCCGCCGCCGGUCGCCUGCCCAGCCGCGCGUUGCGCCAGGGUUUUGCUGGUGACGACCAUGGCCUUCGCGAUCAAAUUAAAAAGUUAUCAACUGCAAAGUAUUAGGUCUCGUUGAGCUCUACAAUUUUGAUAUAAAGUUUCUAUUCAUCCGAGAUCAAAUAAAAAAUUUGAUACUCAAAGCAUAAAUCCAUUAAUCUAGUCUUGCUAAUCCUUACCACCAAAUAAAAAACUAGCAUGUGUUGUGUGUUUGUGACCCUAAACGAUCACAAAUGAAUAACUUAUGGGCCUUGCUAGCGCCCGGAUGUCCAGGCCGGGGCACUAGCAUCAGACCCACGAGUAGCCGUCCGAUCAGGUUCGACACCACUUCAGGAUCUGGCUUAAAAAGAAGUCCCACCGAAACAUUGUUCCAUGUUGCAUGAAGCAACCCACUACCGUCGCCAGGUCUAGAGCAAGCACCACCUUCAAAUGUGCUGCUCACCCUAGCUAAAUAGGGGCAUUAAAAUAUUUCUCGCAUAUCCUUCUCAAAUUAAACAAAAUCGCAACAUCUGAAAAUUUUUACAGAAAACCAUGAAACAUAUCGAUUAGAUAGAUGUAACAAGAUGGAAUAUGGUAUAUGCAACAUAUAGGUUCCGAAAAGCAGAUGAAAUAUUAUGUAAUGAUUCUUGAAACAGUCAAGAAAAAUAGAUGUAACAUCUAAAAUUAAGAAAAGAAGCUUUAUGCAAAUUGCAAAAAGCUGAAACAAGUGGUUGAAACAUUUCAAAUCACCAAAUGCCACAUUUGAAAUGACCAGAUGAAACAUCACGAAAUCAAUUGCAACAGUUGAAGAUGAAAACAUUCAAAUGCCUUGCCUUUCUCCAAAUUUGACCCUCCAAGCAUGAGUCCAGCCAUUUGCACAUUAGACCCUUGGGAGGAGCUCACCGGAGAACAACAAGACCGUGUUAUCCAACAAUUUUCAGAUCAAAUUGCAACAUAAAGAACAAAGCAUUGCAACAUCUGGCAUCACGAGCUACAACAGCAACCAGUUAGGAUCAGGAGAAAGAGGGCAAACACAAGCCUAACAAUGAGUUAUAUCCGGUUUAAACAAGGAUAAAAAUGAGUGUAUUUUACACUCAUCAUGUUGUCUUUUCGCAGCUGUACCGCCUUUAGCGUGUUGUAUUGUUCCUAACACCAAGUCUCCGAGGCCCGAAAAAAUAAGGAAAGUGGUAGCAGCUCAGAAAUCGACUAAGUUUCUUUCCCCCUUUGGCUUUCCUACUAGGAUUCGGAAUCCUCUUUCGUAUGACAAUCUUAAUGAUCUCCCAUAGUCCAAAACUCACAAAAACAUCAAAAAUCCACCGAGAAUAAAUUAAGUAAAAAAACAUGCACACACAGAUAAUAAUAGUAAUCAUGUUUCAUUAUGAUUGCUAAGGUCAGACACAAUACAUAAACAUAUUAGACUGAGUGACCCACCUCACCUCAGAGUAUGCACCAUGUCUGAGUGACCCACCUCACCUUGCCAGGACACUGGUCCUGCCCUCGUGGUUCACGCGCCCUCGUGGUUCAGCAGUGGUCAGUACACAAAUCUAGCUGCCAGUCGGAUCCAAGGGCAGGCAUUUGCAUUGUGGUUGUGUUUGAACAUGGAGAUGUCAUUAUUAUUGUCAGGCACCAUACAUCCUCUCUCAGUUUCACUCCGCCUCACACACGGAUAGCACACCAGGGACCCGACACCAUGCAUGCCGAUUUCAUAUUAUUAAUAUUUAAUUUUUUUAAUGGUUGUUGAAACUAUAUUGUUGAUAUUUUUAUACAUAAUUUACGACCUAAUUUGGAUAUAUUUUUGAAAUAUUCCGAAAUCUUAAAUUCACACGUCUAGAGAUACAGUUAGUCCAAUCUGAUGUUUCCGAUUAUAAAAAUGAACAUAAAGAGAUAGGAAGCGAGAGACGUGAGGGGGAAAGUUAAAUUAGGGCCUAAGGGGUGAAGUUAGGGUUCCAGGUGAGCUGUCAUCACUACGUGUUUUUAAUCGAAAUUGGAAUGUCAGCAAUCGUCAGAUCUUGAGCCAACAGUUGAGACUGCCUCGGAAUGGUAAUUAGGUCUGCGCGAGCUUGCAUUGUGGCCUUCCUUGAAACCUUGGACAUAGGUGUUAUAUUAUUAUGUUCUUGCCAGCACACAGCAGUGAAGGACGACACAGUUGAGAUGUGCAUCACAUUUUCUAUAUGAAGGAUAUGUUUAGCAAACCUAAGAUUUUAGAAUAAAAAGAAAAAUCAUGGGAGCCAAAGCGCCACAUAGUUCUUCCAGGUAAAAAAAAAUCAUCCACUGGACCAGCACAUAGUAACGAUCCAAAAAGUCCAUAUUAAGAUUUUUUGAUAGCAGAAAAAACAUAAAAUGUCUAAUAUUUGUAGUAUUAAAAGGAAAAAUAAUAUAUUCACGUGACCUUUUUCCCGUAGCAAGGCACCGGUACGUGGUCAGACUUAAUGCACGAUGCCUAAGCAUCCAUUGGGCCUACCCUCGUGUGGAUCACGCGCAACAGGACACGGCUCACAAGCUAUGAUGUGCAGCAGUCGCUCAGAUGGCUGAAAGGUACCCUUAAUUUGAAUGGUACCAUAUAUAUAUAUAUAUAUAUAUAUAUAGUAAACAAGACAAACCACCGUUGAUACUACUUUGCACUACUUGAUACAUAUAUCUCCACCAAAAGCGAGGCACGUGGGGAGGAGAGAUAUGUGGUUGAUGGUGCGGGCACGUGGCGAGUGCACCGUACGAAAAUUUUGCUCGUGUCGGACGACUGAUGUGAAGCAUUACCCAAUCUUAAUUAUCUCCCAUAAUCCAAAACUCACAAAAACAUCAAAAAUCCGCCGAGAAUAAAUUAAGUAAACCAUGCACACACAGAUAAUAAAAUUGCUAAUAAGGCCAGAGACAAUACAUAAACAUAUUAGACUGUUCAUGACACAUAUCACGGUGGAUAGUGUCUGUGUCCUUAUUACAAGCAAUGAGAGAUGCUUGUCACCACACACACGCGCACAGAUGCACAACAUACAUAUAGUUGAGACCAACAGAUGGAUCAACUAGAGGUCACCCCAUAUGGUGAACAAUUUAUUGGAGAUAAACAUUAACAUAACUUGGCCAUAGCUUGAAGCAUAGCAACAUAUGCCUAUGAACGGCGUUCAUGCUAUCAUUUUAGGCUUGUCCGCUUCUUCCAUCUUAGCAAGCACUUCCAUUUCUACCAUCUUAGAAGCAACUGUCAAAUUGAGAUAUGGAAAUCCCAUUAGCGCAUGAGUUAAUUUUGCAGUGAAAAUAGAGUACAAGAUAUCUUCAUGAUGUAAGUAACAUGCCUGAAGUUGUGAGAUGGGAAGUGAAGUCAACAAAUUACAUUAACGGAAAUGCAUGGAAGGCCACACAUACGUAUUAGUCCAUGAUAUGCUACAAAGCUUGUAUGUACAUAUAGCAAAUUAAAUGCAUUAAUUGAAUAGAGUGAGUUUAGUGAAUUUACCAGAAUCGUCCAGAAAACAUGGGAAACAGCAAGUGUUCUUGCAGACUGCGUCGGUGCCACCCACAGCAAUACAACCAAAACAACAUGCUUUUGCCCGAGCGGCUGCGCAGCAGCCGCACUCUGCCGCGGUGGCCGAGUUAGCAUUGAGGCUCAAGAUGACCAGGCACAUGAUCACCAUCAAAGCGGUGGUAGUCCUCUUUCCCUCCAUUGCCUCCUCUUGCUGCUACCUUCCUUGGUUACCUAGCUAAGUUUAUUGGUUUUGUGUUGAGAGGUGAUUCUUGCAUUGAAUGGACGUUGCCGCGGCUGCAAUUUAUAGGCAGCUGCGCUAUGUGAUGAUAUGGACAAGGUGCAAAUGGGUGGUCCUGAUAUGGAUAAGGUGCAUGCGAAUGGCUGUCUACUUGUAUAGUGGCGCUCCAAUGUACAUACGUAUGUAUCUUAUGCAUGUAUACAGUUGAUGGAUGUACAUGUUUGUUGCACAAAUUAUUCUGAACCAACUCUUCAUAACAGGUCUUUGUUACCAAGUAAUUUUACUUUUGCACGUUUCAGCCGAGAGGCAGAAGAGAAUAUUUUACAGAGAGGGCAGAGAAGGAGGUUGGCGGAGGCGCCGUGGUAGGGUUCCCCGUGUCGCCAAGAUUUUUGCAUUUUAGAUGUGUGUAUUGAUCACUUCGUCGUGCUCGCGGGGCCCAACUCCAGGUUGUACCCCAGCAGACCACGUUCUGUUUCUCUGCCUCCAAUGAGCAUGCAUGCCUCCACAAGGACCACAAGACUUAGUAAAAAAGCUAAACUUUGCAACACGAUGUAUACAGAACGUUUUGAAAUGUACUCUCGUUAGGCAUUCACCUCCUUAACAAUCACUGCGACUGUAAAAGAGGUACAUCGACGCUAGCUAAAUAAACCACUAUAAGAUUUAGCAAGAGAUCAUUUUAUACAAUCCUGUAACGAAACAAUUUGACAAUUAUAGUGUCCAUAUAUUUUGACAAAAAAACGUUUAAAUUAUAUAAGGAGGUGGGCCCGAAAACGGUUGGAUUACAUCGAGAACGUUUUGAAACAGUUGGCGGAGCAGGAUUCUGGCGUGGAGCAUCUACAUUGUCGCGCGCGCGGACUGCCGGAGUAGGCACGCUCGACUUGUCCCAUCGCCAGCUAAAUGAUUUAGUACCGGAUGGUCUCUAGUACCGGUUGGAGCUACCGUCCACCAGGAGCUUUUCUAGUUUGGAACUGGUACUAAUGCUAAUAUUAGUAUCAGGUCAAAAACAAUCGGUACUAAGGCUAGGGAUGACACGUCAUUUUUCUAGUAGUGUGUGCAAUUGGUUUUGUAAUUAGUCUAUAUUUAAUACUUCUAAUUAGUAUCUACACAUUUUAUGUGACAGGGACUGAACUUUAGUCCGUGGAACCAAACACCCCAUAAGUAUGUUUGGUGCUGUAAGGAUUUCGGUUUUAUUUAAUUUCCUAGGCAUUUAAAUUUCUUUCUAAAAUAAGUUAAUGAAUCAUAGGAUCUCAUUGUUGUAUUCAAGCUGGUGCAUUGAUUUUGCCUAUAAAACCCGCCGCGGUCUUCGCAGCCCCCAUCAAACCCUAGCGCCCUUGCCACAAGCUCAGCACCGCUGCCGCCCGAGCUCGAGCACUAGCACCCACCCAUCGCCGUUGCCUUCCCGUCGAUGGGAUCACCGCCCGGAGCUUCGCAUCGUGGUAAGGAAGCCGCCCGUGAAGAUCCCAUGUGCUCCUAUGCCCUCUACCGCGUCCCCGAGUUCCCGGAGUUGCUAGUCUCCCACCGAGCCGACUCUCCGAGCUUCACGUCACUGGUGCCGCUCCGAAGACCUAGUUCGGUUCGCCAUGCACCUCGCUUCAUCCUGAGCUAAACCCCAUAAUGAAUGGUGGUCGGAUGCUCGCCGCCACGGCGCGUCGUCUUUUCUGUCGCCCGUGCAUUGCCUAUCCCCUUCCAGCCGAUUGCAGCUGUCCGAUCGCAAACCGGUGGCCCUGAUCGGAUACCAAGGUCAAUACCGGUCGAACCGAGCCGUGCGCUGCUUUUGCAAGAAGGCCCCUGUUUUUCUCUCUUUUUGCACCUGAGGUCCUACGCAGUUCAAAAGUAAUAAGAUCUAGGUCCUUUUUCUUUUGUUUUAGCCCGUGUUCUUUUAUAAAAUCCCGCCCACUAUUCUGUUUGGUCUUUUGACGCGUUAGACCUUCUUUUUAUAUGUUUAAUUAGGUUUUAGGUCUCGAUUUCUUUAAGUUUAGCCCUUGAAAGUUUAGUUCUCUCGCAGUUAAGCCCCUGAACCUUGUUUAGCUCAUAUCUUAAGCGUUUUAAAUCCGUUUUAACAGAUUCUUGCGCCUAUAAGUUCAUGUUGACGCAUAGAUUAGUUGACUUAUACGAACCUUGCUGAUUCAGCUCCUUGAUUGUGCUUCAGAUCUCGCUAGGGAAGAAUAAUGGAUGGGCUUUGGUUGAGCUUGUAGAUCGACUUGCAGUUGCAGUGAAUGAGCAGAGGAUUGGCAGUGAAUAAGAUCAGGCCGCUGCCCUGCUUGGUAGGGAAAAUAUCUGCUUGCUACCAAGGCCUGUGACGCAUGGACCCCAUUGAGAGUGCAUUAUUGACAAGGACUUAAAGCCAAGGGCUCCACACCUGUCAUUGAUCAGCUGUCUGCUGGGCGCUGCAAGGAGGUAGUGCAUGUUUGACAUAAAGAAGCAGGUGGCCCAGGAUUUACGAAAAAUAAGGAUCUAUUUGAUACCCUUGCUUAUAUUUAGGGGCUAAAAGUUGCUUAUUUGAAGUUGCUUAUUUUUAAUCCUAGCUGUUUGAUUGCAUGGGCUAAAGAGCAUUGAAUGAGGUGGAUAUUGUCAUGUUUGCCUCUAAUGAUUGCUUCCCAUCACAUUUCUCCCCCCUCAUUCAACGAGGGAAGGAGGUGUAAAGUGCACCUUUUAGCCCCGAUAAGUAACCCUUGUGUUGUUUACGGGCUGAACAUAAGUAGCUAAAGUUUAGCUCCAAUAAACAAGAGUGUUUGGUAUUUUUGGGGUUAAAAGGGGCUAAACUUUAGCUGCUUAUGCAUAAGCAAGGCCAUCCAAAUAGGCCCUAAGUAUGUUUGGCGUUGUAAGUAGGUUUUAUUUAAUUUCCUAGGCAUUUAAAUUUCUUUCUAAAAUAAGUUAAUGAAUCAUAGGAGUUCAUUGUUGCAUUCACGCUGGUGCAUUGAUUUUGCCUACAAAACCUGCUGCCGUUUCCGCAGCUCCCAUCAAACCCUAGCACCCCCGCCACGAGCUCCAGCGCCGCUGCCGCCCGAGCUUGAGCACUAGCGCACACCCAUCGCCGUCGCCUUCCUAUCAAUGGGAUCACCGCCCGGAGCCCGUGUCAUGGUAAAGAAGCCGCCCGUGAAGAUCCCGUCCACUCUCGUGCCCUCUACCGCGUCCUCGAGUUCACCGGAGUUGCCAGUCUGCCACCCAGCCGCCUCUCCGAGCUUCAUGUUGUCGUUGCCACUCUAGCUGCCUCUCUGAAGACCUAGAUCGGUUUGCCGUGCACCCCGCUUCAUCCUGAGUUAAACCCCAUCAUGCCACGUCAUAGUAAGGAAGCUGCUCAUGAAGAUCCCGUGCGCUCCCGUGCCCUCUACCGCGUCCCCAAGUUCACUGGAGUUGCUAGUCCACCACCGAGCCGCCUCUCCGAGCUUCACUUCACAGUCGCUGCUCCAGCCACCACUCUGAAGACCUAGAUCAGUUCGCUGUGCACCCCACCUCAUCCUGAGCUAAACCCCAUGACGAACUGUGGUCGGAUGCUCAUUUUCGAGUGAAUUCCGGCGAGAUGGUCGCCCGCCGCCGCCAUCUCCAUCGCCCAUGCACCGCCUGUCCCCUUCCAGCCGAUGUCCGAUUGCAAACCGAUAGCCGAAAUCGGAUGUGGUCACCAGGAUUAAUACCAGUCAAACUAAGCCACGCGUGCCGCUUUUGCAAGAAGGCCCCUAUUUUUCCCUCUUUUUGCACUUGAGGUCCUAUGCAGUUCAAAAGUAAUUAGAUCAAGGUCCUUUUUCUUAUGUUUUAGCCCUAUUCUUUCAUAAAAUCCCGGCUGCCAUCCUGUUUGAAAUAGAUACGGUUAUAGAUAUGCAAACAUCUGCAUAUUUCCAACCGUAUCUCUUUCGAACGGGAGACGCCUAACUAGGUUACGUGACAUACGAACAUCAUACGGAUAGAGAGGGGUAGGAUGUCUCACCUUGCUAUCCUACAAAGUGACGACUCGAGGACAGUAAUGUAGCCUCUCCUUCAAAAAAAGAACAUACUACUAUCAAGUUAAAUUUUUGACAGCACCUCCCCUGCACGUGGAGGUUUCCAUAACCUGCAUCAAAUAAAACGGCACGAUGGCUGACAACCACAUCUACAGCACCAGAAUGGCACGAUGGCCGACUUCCACAUAAAGUUCUUAUACCUUAGAUUGCCAAGUCAAACAUCCUUUUCUAAUUUCUAAAACAAAAGCCCUCCCACCUCUCUAUCUUAUACUUUCCUAUUUACUAAUUGCUUUUGUAAUUUCUAAUUUCUAUUUCAUCCUACCACCUCUGUACCCUUUUCUCAUUUCUAAUUCCAAUUUUCUAACUUGAAGAGCAAAGAUUGAUUACUAGGAGGGGUGAGGGACGCCGGCCUAGAGAGGCGAGGGGACGUCCGGCGGCGGCGGGUGCGUCGGGGGUAGGAUGCCAGGGGCGGCUGCAGGGGCGCCGGGUUGGGGGCGGCCGGGAUCGAGGGCACCAGUAGCGGGGGCACCGGGCCGGGGGCGGCCGGCGGGGCGGGACGCCAGGGCCGGGGCGACGGGCGCCGGUGGCGAGGCCGCCCGGCCGGUGGUGGCCGGCGUGGCGCCUGGGCCGGGGGGGGGGGGCGGGCGGGGUGCGGCGCGGCGCGCCGGGGCAGGGCGCCGAGGCUGGGUGGUGGGGUACGGGGCGGCGGGCGGGGGGUGGGGGGAGGGUCGGCGGCGGGGCGCGGGGGCGGCCAGCGGCGACGGCGGAGGGCGUCGGUGGUGUUUCGGAAGUGAUACGGAGGGGGUAGAGAGAUUCGUUUUCGCGGCUGAGUGUUCGAGUCAGAAGGCCGUGCGGCUUAAGUCAGGUGGUUUGCCGAGUGCGCGCGAUCUGGCACUCGGCAAAGUCAGAAGUUUUGCCGAGUGUCAGAUCGCGGGCACUCGGCAACUGCAGCUUUUGUCGAGUGCCCUGGAUUCGGCACUCGGCAAAGUGAAGUUUUAAUUUUUUUUAAAAAAAUUUAAUCGGAACACGGGCGUGCCAGCGGGCCCGUGACAUACUUUGCCGAGUGUGUAGCAAAAACACUCGGCAAAAUAUUAUCUUUACCGAGUGUUUUCGCUAGGCACUCGGCAAAGUACACUUAUAUUUCAUGUACACUUUUUCAAUAACGUGUUUUACUAACCUUUUUCUGAUAUACUUGGGAAAAACCUUAUCAAAUUCACUCAACAAUGGAUAUAUGGUUUUUCUACUGACAUUAUUCCAUUAUUUCAUUCAGUUAUAGCUCAAAUUGAAUUUAUAUCUAUUAAAAAUCAAUAAUUGCAUUUAAUAAAUAAAAAAUACCAAACGGAUCUGAAAAAUUUCCAAAAUUUGACAUGAACCAAUCUAUGUUGUAUGUUGCCUGUACAAAAAGCUUUGAAGUCAAACCCCAAUUCAAGUGUCACUUGGACUCCAAAUCUUAUCGGAUCCUUUCUAACUUCUAUGAAUCCUUUCGGGAGAUGAGUCGGUUUGUAAGCAUCAUAUGUCAUAAAUUGGGCGAAACCUUCUCAAUUUUUUACCACAGCCUCCACAUAUAAUAUCAUGACACCUUGACAAAUCUUGUGAUUUUCAGACUUCGUUUGCUUUUUUUAGAAUUUAACAACCAUUCAACCACAUGUUCGUGAUCGUGUUUUCUAAAAAAAUGUUCAAAAUUUCUUUUCAUUUCCUGGUUGAGACCUCAAUCCGGAUUGAAUAAUAUGAAUAUGAUUUUUUCACUGAUUUUAAUCCAUUAUUUAAAUCACUUGCAGUUAAAUUUGACUUAAAUAAACAAAUUCCUAUUAAUGCUAUCAAUUCAUUAAAAAUAGCAAACAGAGAAAAAAUAGACCAACUUUUAAGAUGGAUUACCAAAUGUCAUAUGUGGGGAGUAGAAAAAGUGUGGAGAGCAGAGGUGGAAAAAAAAGUUUUGCCUUUGCCAAGUGCCUACACAAACACUCAACAAACUUUGCGGAGUGCCUAUUGAAAACACUCAGCGAACUUCUGAGUUUGCCGAGUGUCUGGAGGGAGCACUCGGCAACCUACUUAUUUGCCGAGUGUCCGCGUCGGACACUCAGCAAAGUACUAACGGCUGGCACACUCCCCUAACGGACGGCGCACGUGCAAGCCAUGUGCUGGAGAUUUAUCGAGUGUCAAAUCGUUGCCGAGUGUCGUGUGGAUGUUUGCCGAGUGUCUUAUUUGUGACACUCGGCAAAGCUAUUGUUUGCCGAGUGUAUUAUUUAUGCCGAGUGUCUUCCAGUAUACACUCGGCAAAUGAUGUCUUUGCCGAGUGCUCGACAUAAAGCACUCGGCAAAAAUUUUACACUCGGCAACAUUCCUGUUUCCGGUAGUGAGUGACCCGGGACUAAAGACCCCCGUUGUCUCUGAUUGCUUUAUUCCGGAUGGAUUUUCAGGAGAUUUGCUCCCUACCAAUAGGGACUAAAGGCAAGUUUUCCACUUAUAGCAAACCAGUUAGCCCAUUGUUGAUGGAACGCAUCACUAGAAACAGCUCGGGAUCCACUUGUCCAAUAAUCGAGAGGGCCUAUAUAUGGACCACGUGUGCGGAUCCCUAAUUAGGAAAAAAGAAUAAUGGAGUAGGACAUCUCCAUGCUCACCUAGUAGCCGCUGCUAGCUUGUGCGUGUGGAACACGAGUGCCGGCCCAGUUGGCGCUAAGACAUCGUACGUGCAUUAAGGCUACGAUCUCUUUCUUCUAACUCAUGCUUGUGCUAUUAUACAUUAUUGCAUGAUCAUCAAGAUAAGAUCGUAUAGUGACUGAGUGAGACAUGUAUGUACUAACAUGCAUUUAAGCCUCGAACUGUGUGUUGUUACGUGAGCUGCCUCCUCACCUCGCCUCUGAAUUAUUGAACCGUUUCCAACAGUGUUGGUCUCAAAUAAAUUUGACACCAAACAGAUUUAUGAAGAAGAGAGAAUAAUACUUGGAAUUGGAAAAAGUUUAUCUCUCUUUACAAUGGAGUAGGGCUCCCUUUUAUAGUGACCCAUAAGCCACUUUACAUUUGGAAAAUGUCCUUCCUCAACCACUACAUUAAUUCCUAGGAUAUGCUGUACAUAAAGGUCAUUUGAGGUAACGUGUACAAAUGAACUCUUCCACAUGGUCACGUUUCUCAUGCCUCCUGUUUUCCAACCUCGAGACAUCAUCUUCACGCCAAGUUGAUCAUCUAGCCUCGAGGCUCCAUCCACGAUCCAGAAUGAACGUCCAGGCUUGAGGCUCCUUCUUCGUUAAGCUUUGUUGAGAACUCAUAACCUCACAUAGUUCUCCUCCGAGUAUUGUUCCCGACUCAGAACACUCGAGGUUUAGCUCAGUUGGAGUUUAGCUAUUACUGUUGCUAGUCACCAGCCUCGAGCCCCUCCAGAAGCAAGGUGAUGCGAGGGUACGAGUUUUACUAUUAAAGGUGUUUCCAUAGAAUGUGCGAGGUUAAAGCACUUGCAGCAAAAGCGUGGAGCUGCUUUCAACCAGAGUGCAAUAAUGCAGCCGUGCCCAUCUUGGUCUUGGUCUCCGCCUGAACUAUAGCAGAUGCUGGCAGCGGUAGCAGGGUGGUCCAUUAUAUCUAUGGAUGGCAAUGGUCGGAUUCGGAUGGAAUCGAAUUCGAAUAGCACUUUUUACCACAUACUAAUUCAAAUCCGAAUUCGGAUUCGGAUGUUCUCGAAUGCGAAUGCAAAAUGGAUGGUUCGAAUUCGAAUACUUAGCGGAUUUUUGCAUAAUAUUAAUCGAAUAGAAUUCAUUAAAUUUAGCCAAGAAAUUAAAUUUUCUGAAAUUAAAUACUUUCCCUUCGCCCCAGCGGCGGCCUAACUCCCAGGACGGUGGCGUGCGGGGCCCGAGCAUCCCUGGCCUCUAGUGGCGUGGCGGGGCGGCAUCCAGCAGCAGCGGCGGGGCUCGGCCUCCGGUGGCGCGCGGCCAGCCCGACCUACCCGGUCAGAGGUGGCGCAGCGGUGCGCGGGCCUCCCCGACCAGAGCCGGUGGGGAGCGGUGCGCGGGGAGGACCUCCCCAGCCGGAGGUAGCAGGGCGCGACCUCCCCGGCCGGAGGUGGCUCCCUGUGGGGGCGCGGCCGUGACAGCUAGCGAGGCAAUAAUUGCUUCCGUACGCAGCAAUAAUUGCUUGUGCGACACCGUGUUAUUACUCUGGUACAGUACUCCCUCCGUUGCAGUACACUGGUCCAGGCGUCAGGACACUGCUCCUGCCCUCGUGGUUCACGUGCAUCAGGCCAGCAGACAAGCUAUGAUGUUGCCAACAGUGUUUGUUUGAACAUGGAGAUGUCAUUGUGAUUGUCAGGGACCCGACACCAUGCAUGCCGAUUUCAUAUUCUUAAUAUUUAUUUUUUUAAUGGUUGUUGAAACUAUAUAGUUACUCCAAUAUCACGUUUCCGAUUAUAAAAAUUAACAUAAAGAGAUCGGAAGGGAGAGCCCGCAUAAUGAAGCCGACGCGUAUAAUAAGCACUAGAGCCGGCAUUUAUACAAACGGGUACGCAUAGUAAAAACUAGAAUUUAUAAAUAAAUGAAGAUAUUCAAAUAUCUGGCUUACUUUUUUCAUUAAUUUUGCAUGAAUAAGGGAUGAUUCAUUAAUCAUUAUUGAACAAAUUGGCACACAUGCUUCGUGCCCGCGUUGUGAGCAUUAUGCGAUGCCACUGAGCUGCACCACCACGGUAGAGGGCCUGUUUGCGAUGCCACCGAGCUGCACCACCACGGCAGAGGGUCUGUUUGGGAAGGGGAAGUUAAAGUUUAACACCCCCCAUUUAACACCUUUUUAACAAAAUGGCUGCUAAACACUUGUGUUAAAAGAGUAGUGUUAAAAUUUAACACCUCUCUUUUCAUAAACACAUGGAGGGGGUGUUAAAAUUUGCUAAAUGUGUUAAAAGUGGUCCCCUCCCCACUUAUUCCUUGGUUGCCCCCCUCUCUCUCCUCCUCUCUCUCCUACCCGCCGCAUUUAAGAGCAUUAUUGAGGGGUAAUGCAGUCCUUUUCCAACAAAAGUGUUAAACUUUAACAACCCUUCCCAAACAUGCCACAAGCAACACCACCGGCUGACUGUGCUAGCGGGGAGCACCCUCACCGCCUGCCCGUGGGGACUUCUUCUGCCGGCCAUCGUGUCUUUGUAGGACCGCCGCGUGAGCCUAUGAGCCACCGGUGGCCGUGCGCCCAAGGGCCAUCACCAUGCCACCUGAGGAUGCUGUCUACCCGGUGCCGCGUGCCUCUGCUAGCUGCUUGCACCUGGGCCGCCGCUGGUCGCCUGCACAGCCACGCGUUACAGCCGCCCCCCUGCGCUGGGCCACCCCAUUUCGUGUUGGAAGAACUGCCACAGUCUCGCGCACUGGGGUUUUGCUAGUGACGACCAUAGCCUCCAAGAUCAAAUGAAAAAGUUGGUACUCAAAACAUACAUCCAUUAAUCUAGUCGUGCUAAUCCUUACCACCAAAUAAAAACUAGCAUGUGUUGUGUUUUUGUGACCCUAAACGAUCACAAAUGAAUAACUUAUGGGCGUUGCUAGCCUAUAAGUUAUGGGCGUUUGUGACCCUAGUCGCGCCGGGGUCUUGCUGGUGACAACCAUGGUCUUCGCGAUAAAGUAUUAAGUCUCAUCGAGUUCUACAAUUUUGAUAUAAAAUUUCUAUUCAUCCGAGAUCAAAUGAAAAACAAAUGAAAAAAUCCGAAGUAUUAGGCUUCAUCGAGCUCUACAAUUUUGAUAUAAAAUUUCUAUUCAUCCGAGAUCAAAUGAAAAAAUCCGAGAUCAAAUGAAAAGUUGGAACUCAAAACAUACAUCCAUUAAUCUUGAUAUAAAAUUUCUAUUCAUCCGACAUCAAAUGAAAAAGUUGGUACUCAAAAUAUACAUCCUUUAAUCUAGUCGUGCUAAUCCUUACCACCAAAUAAAAAAACUAGCAUGUGUUGUGUGUUUCUGACCGUAAACGAUCACAAAUGAAUAACUUAUGGGUGUUGCUAGCGUCCCGGACGCUAGCAUCGGACGCAUGAGCAGCCGUCCGAUCGGGUCCGACACCACUUCACGAUCUGUCUUAAAAAAAAGUCCCACCGAAACAUUGUUCCAUGUUGCAUGAAAUACCCCACUAUCCAUCGCCAGGUCUACAGCAAGCACCACCUUCCAAUCUGCUGCUCACCCAAGCUAAAUAGGGGCAUUAAAAUUGCAGAAAUAUGUCACAUAUCCUUGUCAAAUUAAACUAAAUCGCAACAUCCGAAAAUUUCUUACACAAAACCAUGAAACAUAUCGAUUAGAUAGGUGUAACAAGAUGGAAUAUGGUAUCCAACAUAUAGAUUCCGAAAAACAGAUGAAACAUUAUGUAACGAUUGUUGAAACAGUCGAGAAAUAUAGAUGUAACGAUUAAAAUUUAGAAAAGAAGCUUUAUGCAAAUUGCAAAAAGCUGAAAUAAGUGGUUGAAACAUUUCGAAUCACCAAAUGCCACAUUUGAAAUGGCUACAUGAAACAUCACGAAAUCAAUUGCAACAGUUGAAGAUGAAAACAUUCAAAUGCCUUGCCUUUCUCCAGAUUUGACCCUCCAAGCAUGAGUCCAGCCAUUUGCACAUUAGACCCUUGGGAGGAGCUCACCGGAGAACAACAAGACCGUGUUCUCCAACAAUUUUCUGAUCAAAUUGCAACAGACAAAACAAAGCAUUGCAACAUCUGGCAUCACGAGCUACAACAUCAACAAGUUAGGAUCAGGAGAAAGAGGGAAAACACAAGCCUAACAACCCCAAGACAAAACUGAUGUACUCAUCAUACAUCACGGCUUGCCGUGCACAGAGAUGAAGGCCGCCAAGCUCAAUCGAGACAGAGACGACGUGAUAGUGCUCCAGAUCGACGGUCCCCAUCAAUUGUUGCGUACACUGCCAAAAGCAAUGGAAGAAGAAGGGUCGUCCCUGCUCGACCUCCGUAGAUGAGCGCAGAUUGGGGGAAACCGUAUAGAGUGCCGCUGACAGCACAGGCGAGGGGGCUCAGGCUUGAUUCAGGGUGAGGGUAGCGGGUAGCAUGAGGAGACAGUCAGGUUUCAUAGGAGAGAGGCGGAGUAGAGAGCUCUGGUGACUCGGUGAGGAGGGUGCGGCACGGAGAAAGGUGUGUAGCUGAAGGAGCUACAUGGUUGGGGCGAGGCGAGCGUAGAGACUAGAGAGGGAAAAAAAGCAUGGGGAGGAGACGAUAUGUGGUUGAUGGUGCGGGCACGUGGUGAGCGCACCGUAUGAAAAUUUUGCUCGCGUCGGAUGACUGAUGUGAAGCAUUACCCAAUCUUAAUUAUCUCCCAUAAUCCAAAACUCACAAAAACAUCAAAAAUCCGCCGAGAAUAAAUUAAGUAAACCAUGCACACACAGAUAAUAAAAUUGCUAAUAAGGCCAGAGAUAAUACAUGAACAUAUUAGACUGUUCAUGACACAUAUCACGGUGGAUAGUGUCUGUGUCCUUAUUACAAGCAAUGAGAGAUGCUUGUCACCACACACACGCGCACAGAUGCAUGACAUACAUAUAGUUGAGACCAACAGAUGGAUCAACUAGAGGUCACCCCAUAUGGUGAACAAUUUAUUGGAGAUAAACAUUAACAUAACUUGGCCAUAGCUUGAAGCAUAGCAACAUAUGCCUAUGAAUGGCGUUCAUGCUAUCGUUUUAGGCUUGUCCAGCUUCUUUCAUCUUAGCAAGCACUUCCAUUUCUACCAUCUUAGCAGCAACUGUCAAAUUGAGAUAUGGAAAUCCCAUUAGCGCAUGAUUAAUUUUGCAGUGGAAAUAGAGUGCAAGAUAUCUUCAUGAUGUAAAUAACAUGCCUGAAGUUGUGAGAUGGGAAGUGAAGUCAACAAAUUACAUUAACGGAAAUGCAUGGAAGGCCACACAUACGUAUUAGUCCAUAAUACGCUACAAAGCUUGUAUGUACAUAUAGCAAAUUAAAUGCAUUAAUUGAAUAGAGUGAGUUUAGUGAAUUUACCAGAAUCGUCCAGAAAACAUGGGAAACAGCAAGUGUGCUUGCAGACUGUGUCGGAGCCACCCACACGAAUACAAAGCUGACAACAUGCUUGUGCCUCGUGGGAUACGCAGCAGCCGCACUGUGCCGCGGUGGCCGAGUUAACAUUGAGGCUCAAGAUGAACAGGCACAUGAUCACCAUCAAAGUGGUAGUCCUCUUUCCCUCCAUUGCCUCCUGUCGCUGCUACCUUCCUUGGUUACUAGUAAGUUUAUUGGUUUUGUGUUGAGAGGUGAUUCUUGCAUUGAAUGGACGUUGCCGCGGCUGCAAUUUAUAGGCAGCUGCGCUAUGUGAUGAUAUGGACAAGGUGCAAAUGGGUGGUCCUGAUAU